This 119-nucleotide ribosomal RNA is filed under the name Helianthus annuus (common sunflower). Lineage: Eukaryota; Viridiplantae; Streptophyta; Magnoliopsida; Asterales; Asteraceae. The record is from RNAcentral.
GGUUGCCAUCAUACCAGCACUAAUGCACCGGAUCCCAUCAGAACUCCGCAGUUAAGCGUGCUUGGGCGAGAGUAGUACUAGGAUGGGUGACCCCCUGGGAAGUCCUCGUAUUGCAACCC